AGAGCAAACCGGACGGCCGCUGCUGCCGGUUCUUCCGGGGUAGAGGAAAGUCCGAGCUCCACAGGGCAGCGUAGUGGGUAACGCCCACCUUCGCGCCGCUUGCGGCGCGGGCGGAUUAGAGCAACAGUGACGAUUUCCCGCUUCGGCGGGAAGUGAAACGCGGCAAUCUCUACGCGGAGCAAGAUCAAAUAGGAGGAGGGUUGCCCGCCUGCUAUUCCUCGGGUUCGGUCGCUCAUGAUUCCGGUCAGUAAUGUCCGGGACAAGAUGAAUGGCCGUCGCUUCAGAUUUUCUGAAGAACAAAACUCGGCUUACAGGUUUGCUCUCCGG
RNAcentral lists this RNase P RNA (327 nucleotides) under Candidatus Omnitrophota bacterium. RNAcentral describes it as "RNase P RNA component class A". It matches the Rfam family "Bacterial RNase P class A". From Rfam's summary of the family: Ribonuclease P (RNase P) is a ubiquitous endoribonuclease, found in archaea, bacteria and eukarya as well as chloroplasts and mitochondria. Its best characterised activity is the generation of mature 5'-ends of tRNAs by cleaving the 5'-leader elements of precursor-tRNAs. The record is from RNAcentral. Lineage: Bacteria; Pseudomonadati; Candidatus Omnitrophota.